This 658-nucleotide long non-coding RNA is filed under the name Daucus carota (carrot). RNAcentral describes it as "long non-coding RNA (DCAR_LNC002430)". Lineage: Eukaryota; Viridiplantae; Streptophyta; Magnoliopsida; Apiales; Apiaceae. The record is from RNAcentral.
UGAUCAUGCCACGCAUGGUCCUUGUUGAAGAUGAUAGCUGCACCAAGACUCCUGGCUGGGUUGAUACCAGUUCCGGUAAUGGGGAUAGUGGCCAAGUGAACCAAGAAAACAGCAAAUCCAAUGGGCAAUGGUGCCAAGAUCUGAAAAUUGAGCAUUAUCAUUAUCCGUUGCAACAAUAUUAUGUUCAUUUAAAUUUUAUCUCUCAUAAUCCAAUUUUGCCUACAAAUUAGCUGCAAACGUGUACUAUGGUAAUCAUAUGAUUAUCUGAUUACAAUACCAUUUCACGUUAGCAUAAAUCAUAAGUUGCGGUUUGAGUCCAAAAAAUCACUAGUUUUCACACCUUAAUUUCCACUUUGUAGACUAAAUUAGUUUGUUUAAAAGAAUACCAAUCAAACUAUACACACAAUUGGAAUAAAUUCAUCUUAAAAAUCAAAAACACAAGAGCGACGGGGGAGGGGGCUUACAGGAACAUGGGAGUCUCUAGCGCUACGCUUGGCAUCAGUGGCUGAGAAGACGGUGUAAACAAGGACAAAGGUACCAACAAUCUCAGCACCCAAACCAUCCCCUUUGGUGUAACCAUGAGCUACAACAUUAGCACCACCACCUUGAAGAUUAUAUUGCCUCUUUCCUUCAAAACCUUUGACUACUCCAGCUCCAC